Molecule: ribosomal RNA, 253 nt
Filed under: uncultured bacterium
Lineage: Bacteria
Description: partial 16S ribosomal RNA
Rfam family: Bacterial small subunit ribosomal RNA
Source: RNAcentral
UACGGAGGGUGCAAGCGUUAUCCGGAUUUACUGGGUUUAAAGGGUGCGUAGGUGGGUAGGAAAGUCAGUGGUGAAAUCUUCGGGCUUAACCCGGAAACUGCCAUUGAUACUAUUUAUCUUGAAUACUUUGGAGGUAAGCGGAAUAUGUCAUGUAGCGGUGAAAUGCUUAGAUAUGACAUAGAACACCAAUUGCGAGGGCAGCUUACUACACAGUUAUUGACACUGAGGCACGAAAGCGUGGGGAUCAAACAGG